Molecule: long non-coding RNA, 1152 nt
Filed under: Olea europaea (common olive)
Lineage: Eukaryota; Viridiplantae; Streptophyta; Magnoliopsida; Lamiales; Oleaceae
Description: long non-coding RNA (OEUR_LNC003115)
Source: RNAcentral
UGGCAUUAUUUUGCAAUUUCAUUUAAAACAUAAACAGAAAUCAAAUUUCUUUAGGGAUGGCAAGACUUUGUGGCUCUUAUUUUGCCCUCAUUUUAUUUGCUCUUUUAGGUAUGUGCUAUAUAUAUAUAUAUAUAUAUAUAUAUAUAUAUAUAUGUUCAAACUUUUCUUAUCCGAGUGUUCUAUGAAAUAGAUUUCUUUAUUGACCCAAAAAAAGUUAUAUAUAUUGUAUUAAAGAAAUAAUUACAUUAGACAGGAUGCUCGAUUACAGUUCGAUUAAUGUUUCAAGCUAAUAUCAAGAAGUCUAUGUCGGACGUCGACAAUUCGAUUCAAAUUUAUGUGGAUUGGACUUCUUUGAUAAGUUUUCUUUUUCAUAUUUUAAUAUUCUGCAAAAGUUAUUGUAACUAAUUUUUCUCCAAUGGAAAAUAUAAAUGGUCAAGAAUCAAAACAUUUCAGUGGUUAAACGGUGAAAAUAAAAUGGUCGAUUUUGAGAAAACGACUGAUUUUGGGGUUGAACCAGUGGAUGUCGAGGUUAUUUUGAUAAGUUGUAAUUUCCGAUGUUUUUACUCAUAAUUAGAUUCAACCAACCGAUCUGGUCUUGUUCAUUUAAUAUUGUUACAGGACACGUUAAUGAGUGUUUUAAUUAAAAAAGUAAAUAUCAAAUACCUAAAAAUUAAGUAAAAAAAUAAAUGAAAAAUCUCUUAAUCUACUUAUUGAUGUGAUUAUUUAAAGCAAAAUAUGAUCAUUGUAAUCUAUAUUUUUAUUUUUUAUAUUGUUUUAUUUUAUUUUAUUUGUUACAGUUACCAAAUUGACAUCUCAAGUGGACGGUCUCGCUGAUGCUCGUGCUUAUGCUCCGCAGUCCCAAUGCAAGCUUUCGUUAAUUGAUCACGCAUGUGAGCGUAAAACUUGUGGAUCGCAGUGCCUUGAAAAUUACAAAGGAAUAGGAAACUGCAUUUAUGUUGGCUUUGGAGAAAUGUGCUUUUGUUUUUACGAUUGUCAUUAGCCAAUGGAUUUUAUAUUAGUAAUUUGGUUUAAUCCAACCAAAUUGACAUUGUUCGAAUUAUCAAUUAUAUAUUAAUUCUUGAUUUUAUGAAAUCAAUUUUUCAGUAGUAAGAUUGCAUAUCUACUAUGAGUCCUGUUUGAUUCUCAUUUUUU